UGAGCAAGUUCUGAUGAAGGCAGAUGACAGGGCAUCCAGAUCCAUCAGAGCAGGGCCUUGAAUUAGACUCGCUGCCACAGGCCUGGGGGCCAAGGCACCCUCAGGCCCCCAAGUCAGAGCCGUCCCCUGAGUCCUGCACGUAGGAAGCCUGACCAAACGAAUGUCUGCUCUUAGAAGGUGGGACAGCGUUUCCCUUUAGGUUGUGUGCGUAGCUCCCGUGAGGGGGCAAGGAGGGACUUCUGGGGGCCAGUCAGGCUCUCCUUCCUGAUCUGGGUGUCACCUGGGUGUGUCCAGUUUGGGAGAAUCCCCUGAGCCAGGCAACACUUAUGAUGCGUCCACUUUUCUGUGUGUAGAUUAUAAUUCAGUAGAUCAAAAGUAAAGAAGAAACGAAGAGAGGGAGGGAGGAAAGGAGAAAGGGGGGGAAGAAGGAAGGGAGAAAGGGAGAGUGAUGUAAAGGCAGAUCGAGGCACUUGGACCUGAUUCAACAGGUAAACGCGUGAACUCCAGUCGUCCCGUUGGGACAGGACAGGACAGUAGCAUUAUUGUAGGAAGAUUGAUUGUGGAGAGCAGUUGAAAUGGGAUGAGGCUGAAGUAAGCCAACAAAGAAAGGGUUACAGUGGCCUUAGUCUGGGGAUGAGGCUUAGAUUAGAUAGGUGGGGGUGUUACGAGGGUAGGGGGCCAGUUUCAAGGUAAGCUUUCCAUUCAUGAGCCCUCAUGCAGCACACGCUGUCGGCUGCUUUCAUAAGCUAGCAUUUCGUAUCGUGCUGCACAACAUUAAAAUUCACUUUCUUUACACAGUAAUCAUGAUGCUUGCUGUUAUCGGCUGGGCAGGGCCCGGGACAGCCCACUUAGAUGUGCUCGUCCACAGCUGAGCUGCAGAGCUCCAGCCUGGCGAGCCUCUGCUCCCAGAUGUGUGCCCUUUGUCAGGAGGCCCCAAGGUACUGGCAAUAUAGUAGUGAACAAAACAGAAAACAAGUCUUGCCUGUGUGGAGCUUAUAUUAUUAAGGAUGGAGAGAGACAGCACAAACAUAAGUCCUGCACGCCAGCCUAUUGGGGUCUCCUCCUCCCUCCCACCUGCGUGGGGUCAUCUUAGUCAAGCCUUGAAAAUUCAGACCAGGGUACCUACUGAUGUGGCACCUCUGCGACCCCAGGAAGUCGACACCUGAACACAGCCCCACUGACACCAGGCCGGUCCCUCACCUGGGAUGUCGAGACCCGCCCUUGUGCUCCUUUUCUGGAAGUCCCUCUACCUUAGGACCGGUUGGUCUCCUUUUCCCCGUGGAGCUACCACCUGGAGCCUGAGUCUCACUCUGCUUCUCCCGUCUCCCAGUUCUUACUCCAGCUGUAGAUCCGGGCAUGGCUUCAGGAGAAAGUUCAUCUGUCCAUUCGCUCCUGGACUUACCCCAUCUCACACCAUCAAAUGUGUUUCUGUCAUAUUUUAAAAUGUGUCUUUUGCCAUUAAACUCCAUUCUCCUGCCUUUGUGUUCUUCUUUGGGGAAUGAAUUCAAAUGAGGGCUGCUUUGAUUGGAUCACCCUUCCCAAACUCCACAGGUGACCAGAGAAAAGGCACUCCAUGCGUCAGCAGAUGAUUUUUCCAUGAUGUACGGGACGCAUGUGCUGUCAUGGUUACGCUGGUGUUUUGGGUUUUGUUCUUGUUUCCUUCUUUCUAAUAGUUUCUAAAGUUUCAUCUCUGCCUGAGUUUCACAAGAACACAUGUAAGUUCUGCCCUAACCCAGGCUUAGGGUGUGGUAGGCAGCCCUUAAACUGGCUUGUCUAUACUUUCUUGUGGGUUUGCAUCUGCCCCACCAGCACUGUAUUCACUCAGCUUAAACAACUGCAUUUAAAAAAAAUAUUUUAUUUAUUUAUAUUUUGGCUGUGCCGUACAGCAUGCAGCACAGCCAGGGAUCGAACCCACGCACCUUGCAGUGGAAGCCUACCUGGAAUCUUAACCACUGGACCACCAGGGAAGUCCCAGACAACUGCAUUUUCAAACUCUGAGCUCGACAGCAGUUGCCCUGGGAGCAAAGUGACCCAGGAACUAAGCCCAAUGCUGCACUCAGUCUGGCAACAAGGAUUCUCCACAAACUCCUCCUCAGCAGAAAUCUACACUACAGUCUUCUCCACCCAUUUUUUAUUUUCUGGAUCACAAAGUUUGUUUCAAGUUGUAUCUAAACCUCCAAAUAAUAAUUUCUGGAGGACAGCAUUUUUUUCCACAAUAUUUGUUUGGGAUAUAAUUCAUAGAACA
Long non-coding RNA from Physeter macrocephalus (sperm whale), 2245 nucleotides. RefSeq lists it as uncharacterized. The record is from RefSeq and is a predicted model, not a curated record. The transcript has 3 exons. Lineage: Eukaryota; Metazoa; Chordata; Mammalia; Artiodactyla; Physeteridae.